This is a long non-coding RNA of Drosophila subpulchrella, 4940 nucleotides long. RefSeq lists it as uncharacterized. The record is from RefSeq and is a predicted model, not a curated record. The transcript has 4 exons. NCBI's taxonomy places the organism in Eukaryota, Metazoa, Arthropoda, Insecta, Diptera, Drosophilidae.
CACCUAGCAGCCGGCGGAACCAGAGCAAAAAGGUACCGUUACAGUACACACUUUUUCUACCCUUAGAAAAAAACAUUUCUCUCUCUCACAUUUUACGCCACUCGCCUUUAAAAUGCCUAAAAUUUGUUCAAGUCUGGCUAGGUGUUGGUCCACUGUAGGAGCCGAAAUAGUUAUGUCGUCGAGAUAAUUUUCACAACCUUCUAUUUCACUUAGAAGUUAUUCAAGGUGACGCUGGAAUUGCAUACGGUAAACGUUGGUACUGAAAGAGGUCCAACGGCGUGUUGACAACCAUAAUUUCUUUCGCUGCAUCGUCUAACUCCAUUUGUAAGUAAGCGUCUUUGAGGUCAAUUUUGGAGAAAUGCGUGCCGUGACGAAUUACUAUUGGCGAUGCCCAGUUGCUAAAUUUUAUGGGUUUCGAAAUAAAUGCGUCUAUAAGACGCUGCGCUUCCUCCUUGAACUUAUCCAAUUGGGCAAACGGAAUUUGCCUGCUUUUGUAGAACUUUGGUACGGAAUUUAGGGUAAAUGCUUUCCUUAAAGUUUUUUAUCGUACCAAUAGCCGGCUCAAAUACCUCCUUAUACCUCUGGCAAAGAUCUGUCAUUUGAGUCCCCUGCUUUUCAGUGACGUUUGCUGAAUUUCAAAAUUAAAUGUUUUAAACAAAUCCGAGCCGAACAGAUUAUUAUCACCACAUUUGCCAACUUGGUGCCACACUUUGCUACAGUGUGUAGCUCACCCAGUACAGGAAUUUGUUGUGGGCCGAAUGCGUCCAAGAUUCGAUCGCACUUCUGCAGUCUCGGGCUGUUUAGCUUUUUGUAUGUGUUGACAUUCAAUGCUGACACCGUUGCACCAGAAUCCAUUUGGAAGGAUACGAUUGUAUUGAAGAGGUCCACUUCAAUUACAGAUUUGUUUCUUCAAACUUGACCAAGCUGGAAACGUUGGAAAUUGUUUUUUGUUGAUCGGUGUAUUUUUGUCUUUGCACUGCUUGGAUAAGCAAACGACAGCUAUGUGCCCCUUUCUGGCACAUUUGUGGCAAAUUGCCUCCCGAAAUUUGCAAAUUUCGCGAGAAAUAGAAUAACCGCAGCCAGUGCACGAUUUAUAUACUGCGUUUGUGUCAAGAGCUCUCUUCUCACUCUCUUUGAUUACUGACACUGGCUUUGUUGUUGCCUCGUAAGUUUCGGCAAUUGAGAGAACGUCUUCGAUCGACGGCUGCAACUUCUGCAAAGUGGCUGUGCGAAUUGCGUCGAAUGGAGUGUGCACAAUUAGUUGAUCGCGGAUCAUUUCAUUAACGUAAUUAAAUGAACACCCAUCGGAUUGGCAAACAAAUUUACACUCUCUAGCAAUGCCACGUAGAUCGGCGACCCAUUCCUUAUGUGUCUGUGAGUCCCGCAUCCGACGCUUGAAGAAUUCGUACCGCUCAUCAACAAUAUGACUCUUCUGCUUGAAAUGUUCUGUUAGUUUCUCUGUUAUUUGUUCAUAUGUCUGCUGGUCCAAGUUUUCGCUACCAAUCAGAUUUUUAACAAGCUCAAAUAUGUGAGUGCCUGCCCACGAUAGAAAAUACGCUUUUUUUCUAUCUGCUGCUUGCACCGAGUAAGCGGAGAAGUGCUGUGUUAUUUGUUGGAGAUUCCAGGACCUUCAAAUAAAGUUUGGAUACGCACAAAAAAGGCGAAUGCUCAGACGGAUGCAGACGCCGCUUUCUUUUAUAGGUGCUAGUGGAAUUCCUUUGGCAAAUCUACCGGGGAGUAUUGCUUGAAGUUGUAGACUGAGACAAGAUCCCGAACAAAUCGAUGUGGAAAAGGCCGAAAGGUGGGUUACUCUCUGUAUAAGGAAGGAAUCCAGCAAGCUGCUGAAGGCAGCUGAGGGCCGCGCGCUGCGGGUGGGAGGAAGUAGUGGUGCGAGUAUACAAAGGAGACGCCAAAAGUCGGCUUGUAAAGAAACCGUCCGAAACCGACGCCGAUCCCCUUGACGGCUAUGUCUCGGAGGUGAGCGAUCUCGCAUGAGAUAUGCGAGGCGUCGGGGUCGACGAUGACUCCCUUUCCGAAUCGGACCUAGGACCGACCCUACCGUGGUUGAAAAUGUCUCCAACAUCCCUGCAGAUCAACCUUCUCCACUAUAAGGCAACGAACGCUGCACAUGGGGCAGACAUCGUUUUGACUUAGGAACCCUGGAUCUCUAGUGCCGGGGUCUCUGGACUGGGCGCAACAAACUGACUGACUGUGCAGUGACGAAGGCACUGCAACAUCGGGCUCAACCUAAGGAUCAGCUCAGCUUACUCGGUCAUGACCGUCAAAAAUGGUCUUCGAUACCGGUAAUUUCCCGGAAAUGUGGUUACGCAGCAAGGUGGUGUUCAUUCCUAAAGCGGGUAAGCCAUCGAACUGCACCCCCAAAGACAUCAGACCGAUCAGUUACUCAUCACUUAUGCUGAAAACGAUGAAAAGAUAAAUAAAUCUUCAUAUCCGAAACUAGUCUCACCAAUCCCCUCUCUCCGACUCCUCACGCCUACGGGAAGGGUAAAUCUAUGAGAGCAGCCCUACACAGAAUCGGCACGAUCAUAUCAUUCUUAGAUCUAGAGGGAGCUUUUAACAAUAUCCUGCCAGAAUCCAUCACUGACGAACUAGCUGACUUGAAUAUUGGCCAUUAUCCGGCUACUGCGAUACAGGACCGUGGAGGGGACGUUACGAUUUACGACUUACUGUCGUAACGAAAGUUAGUAGAGGCACCCCGCGAGGCGGUGUACUCUCGCCAUUUAUGUGGAACGUACCAGUCAAUAGACUGCUGCGAAACAUGGAAGGAGGUGACAGUCUCGUAAUGCCUUUCGACAGCCUAAGAUGCUUAUCAGACUGGACAGGCAAAAACGAACUGGGCGUAAACCCCUCCAAAACGGAAUGAAUACUCUUCACUAGGAACUAUAAAAUCCCUAAACUAAAUAUAUCAUCUCUUUUCGGAGAAACUCUAAGAACUCUGGAAAAAAAGCUAGAUUGGAAUUUGAUCGUCGCUGACAGAGUGUGGAAGGCAACAACAUCUUCCAAAAGCCUUUGGGCUCAGCUGGGGCAAGUCAUCAAUGGACAACACCAAGAAGCGUUCGACCAAAUAAAGUCUGAAAAAGCGCCAGUAUUGGCAUGUCCAGAAUUCACAAAACAGUUUUAACUCCAGAUGUAUGCCAGUAAUUUUGAUAUAGGAGCAUUACUAGCCCAGGAGAACACGUAAUAUCGCAUGCGAGCCGGAAGCUGAUUAAGGAAAUUAAACUGCAACAUCAAGGAGAACUCGGGCAAAAUAUUUCUCUCCGCGGAUUGCCAAAUAUUUGAAACGUUUUGUGACAGCGUGCGAUUGCUGACAGCGAUAUAACUCGUCACAACAGAGAGCUGCUGGAAAAAUGCUAGCAAAGGUACCGGAGGCAUCAUGGAAAACCAUGUGUAUCCGACAAUGGAGUCCAGUAUACCACCAAUUCACGACAAUGUAGACUUCACAGUAAAAUCCGACGGAGCGUACCAACCGAACGGUGAAAACAAUGAUCUCCCUACAGGGGUAGACCAGUCCAAGUGGGAUGAGCACUUACCGGAGUUAAUGCUAGCCUUCAAUAGUACCACCUCAGAAACAACAGGUUACAGUGCAGCGCAGUCACUGUUUGGAAGAGAAUUCUGUCUGGGUUAGGAAUAGAAGAAGUCAGUAGAAGGCAAAAACAAAACUACGAUCUCAGAAAACGGAAUGGAAACCCAGUACUGGCCAACUGGUUUGGCACCCAGAUAUGAUGGACCAUGGAAAGUAGUCAAAUUUGCAUCACAGGCAUCAACCCACAGGAGGAGACAAGGAAAGAACGCUUUUGGAUUGAUGGCUCCGGUGGGCACGCAGUGUUCGCACGAGCCCACCCGCGACAUCUAGAAUUGGGCCUACGUAAAUAGGAAGGUGCAGCAGCGACGUUAUCUCGUAAAGGAUGGUGCCGUUACGUGAAAAGUGAUCUUCAACCGCGGGUGAGAGGUAACCGUACUCUACAAGUUUUCAUAUAAUUUAUAAUCAUGUGCGUACAUUAGUACACAAGAUGAGUUAUAGCUGAGGGAAGGUCAUUUAUAAAUAAAGUAAAAAGUAGCGGCCCUAGGUGGCUCCCUUGUGGGACACCGGAACUAACGUGGAGUAUACAAGAACCAGAAGAACGUGAUUAACAGAGUCAAAUGCUUUACUAAAGUCAGUGUAAAUGGUGUCUGUUUAAAGAUGUUUUUUAAAUCCUUUUAUCACAAAUGAUGUAUGUUCCAAAAGCUUAGUGGUUGUCGAUCUACGUUUCAUAAACCCGUGUUGACAUGGAGAUAUAACUGACCUACAGAGGUGCUGCAUGUGGGGAGUAAGAAUAUUUUCAAAGAGCUUUAGGAUCGCUGACAAUUUAGAGAUACCUCUAUAAUUGCAUGCUUCCACUUUGCUACCCUUCUUGUGGAGAGGAAUUACAAACGAUUUCAUAUACAUAUUGGGAAAUUGUGAGGAUUCUAAAGAUAUAGUAAAUAAUUUGAGGAAGGGCUUGCAUAAGGCCUCCGCGCAAUUUUUAAGCACACAGACAGGAAUUCCAUCAGGACUAGGUGAAUAUGCAGGCUUGACAAGUUUAAGAUCAACAAGCAAAGAGCUUUUAUUUAAGGUGGGACAGAAUAUUAAAUUCGACCUGGAUACUGUGUACGAAAAAGGUUGUGAGGAAUGAGAUGAAAUAGAAUAUGUCGUUGGAAAAAACUUGGCAAAAAGAUCGGCUAUCGCCUAAUCAGUUGUUGCGGUAAUACUUUUAGAAGAUAACGAGGACGGAUUAUUUGUGGAUAUACGCUCAGUGUCAACAAAAUUACAUAACUUUAUCGGAUUCUGAGAGAAUUUAACUUUACAACGAUUUAAAUAGUUUUUGUAACACAAAAAGUUAAGCACUGUAAAACUAGACCGAGCACCAAAGUAUCUAUAAUAAAUAGAUUGAGAACCGCUA